GAUGAAUGCUGGCGGCGUGCCUAACACAUGCAAGUCGAGCGGCAGCGCGGUCUUCGGACUGGCGGCGAGCGGCGGACGGCUGAGUAACGCGUGGGAACAUACCCCAAAGUGAGGGAUAACCGCCCGAAAGGGUGGCUAAUACCGCAUAUGAUCUUCGGAUUAAAGGAUUUAUCCGCUUUGGGAAUGGCCUGCGUACGAUUAGAUAGUUGGUGAGGUAAAGGCUUACCAAGUCUACGAUCGUUAACUGGUCUGAGAGGAUGAUCAGUCAGACUGGAACUGAGACACGGUCCAGACUCCUACGGGAGGCAGCAGUGAGGAAUCUUCCACAAUGGGCGAAAGCCUGAUGGAGCAACGCCGCGUGCAGGAUGAAGGCCUUCGGGUCGUAAACCGCUUUUAUAAGUGAAGAAUAUGACGGUAACUUAUGAAUAAGCACCGGCUAACUACGUGCCAGCAGCCGCAGUAA
Molecule: ribosomal RNA, 463 nt
Filed under: uncultured bacterium
Lineage: Bacteria
Description: partial 16S ribosomal RNA
Rfam family: Bacterial small subunit ribosomal RNA
Source: RNAcentral